This 403-nucleotide ribosomal RNA is filed under the name uncultured bacterium. RNAcentral's name for it is "bacterial SSU rRNA". It matches the Rfam family "Bacterial small subunit ribosomal RNA", at positions 976 to 1380 of the family's 1533-position model. The record is from RNAcentral.
UGGCCUUGACAUCCACGGAAGUCUGCAGAGAUGCGGAUGUGCCUUCGGGAACCGUGAGACAGGUGCUGCAUGGCUGUCGUCAGCUCGUGUCGUGAGAUGUUGGGUUAAGUCCCGUAACGAGCGCAACCCUUGUCCCUAGUUGCCAUCAUUCAGUUGGGCACUCUAGGGAGACUGCCGGUGACAAACCGGAGGAAGGUGGGGAUGACGUCAAGUCCUCAUGGCCCUUAUGGGCAGGGCCACACACGUGCUACAAUGGCCGGCACAGAGGGUUGCCAACCCGCGAGGGGGAGCUAAUCUCAGAAAGCCGGUCGUAGUCCGGAUUGGAGUCUGCAACUCGACUCCAUGAAGCUGGAAUCGCUAGUAAUCGCGAAUCAGAAUGUCGCGGUGAAUACGUUCUCGGGCC